RNAcentral lists this ribosomal RNA (253 nucleotides) under uncultured bacterium. RNAcentral's name for it is "partial 16S ribosomal RNA". It matches the Rfam family "Bacterial small subunit ribosomal RNA", at positions 524 to 776 of the family's 1533-position model. The record is from RNAcentral.
UACAGAGGUCCCGAGCGUUGUUCGGAUUCACUGGGCGUAAAGAGUGCGUAGGUGGCAUGGUAAGUUUGAUGUGAAAGCUCAGGGCUCAACCCUGAAAUGGCAUUGAAUACUACUGUGCUGGAGGUUUGGAGGGGGGACUGGAAUUCUCGGUGUAGCAGUGAAAUGCGUAGAUAUCGAGAGGAACACCAGUGGCGAAGGCGAGUCCCUGGACAACACCUGACACUGAGGCACGAAAGCUAGGGGAGCAAACAGG